CUGUGGUACCGACCCUGCGCGGCCGGUACUGAUCCUGCAGUACCAACCCUGUGCGGCCGGUACUGACCCUGCAUGGCUGGUACCAAUC
Molecule: microRNA precursor, 88 nt
Filed under: Columba livia (rock pigeon)
Lineage: Eukaryota; Metazoa; Chordata; Aves; Columbiformes; Columbidae
Description: microRNA cli-mir-9643 precursor
Source: miRBase by way of RNAcentral